This is a long non-coding RNA of Xenia sp. Carnegie-2017, 193 nucleotides long. RefSeq lists it as uncharacterized. The transcript is spliced from 3 exons. Lineage: Eukaryota; Metazoa; Cnidaria; Anthozoa; Malacalcyonacea; Xeniidae. The record is from RefSeq and is a predicted model, not a curated record.
AAGACUUUGAAGAAUUUUCUCAAAGUAUUUUGUCACAAGUCAAGCAACCGCAGUGUGAAGCAACAAUAAACCAAGAUGUGGAUGUGGAUAGUCCAGUUGUUGAUCAGUCAGUUAUAGAUGUACUACAAGCCAGCCAGGCCAGAAAUUCAUCUGGAGAGUUGGAUAAAGAAUUGGUGGAGAUUUUAAUGAGUUU